Callithrix jacchus (white-tufted-ear marmoset) is the source of this 1842-nucleotide long non-coding RNA. RefSeq lists it as uncharacterized. NCBI's taxonomy places the organism in Eukaryota, Metazoa, Chordata, Mammalia, Primates, Cebidae. The record is from RefSeq and is a predicted model, not a curated record.
GUUUAUUCAUAAUGAGGUGAGAUAUCACCCAAGCUUUGAGACAAACUAACUUUUCAUAUGGCCUCUUCUCUAAAAUAGGUCGGGGGUCGGGGUGAAGCUUUAAAUAGAAAUAACUUCUCCGGGCAUAAACUGAGGAUAGCGGACCUAUCCGCUCUUUCUCCUCGCUCUGCCACCGUUGCUGAAUGGAGGAGCAGCCUAGAAAGCCGCCGCCUUCCCGCAAACAGAGACAGGAUCUCAUUUGAUCACCCAGGCUGGAGAAUGCAGUGGUACGAUCACAGCUCAUUGUAACCUGGAACUCCUGGGCUCAAACACUUCUCCCGCCUCAGUCUCCCACGUGAGUUUACAGGGUUGCUGUGAGGAUGAAAUGAGAUAAUGCCCACUUAGCACAAGGCCUGGAACAUGAUGGCACCAAGAUUCCUCUUGUGGAGAUGAUUGUGUUUGGGAGAAGCUUUUGAUGAGCCACUUGGAGUAUAGAAGUGCAAAGACAAGCUCAAAUAAUAACGGUGAUUAAAAUGUUUUCUAAAAACGGAAAACCUAUUAACUGCAUGGCCUUCUGUUUUUGCCUGGGAGUGUGCAGGUUUGGGGUGGAGGUGAAUUGCUUCCGAAACUAGUACACUUUGUUCUGCUUUUUCUUCUAUACAAUACUGGCUCAGUGGGAGAAAAAAAAAAAUCUCAAUUGUAUUAAGGGAUAUAGGAUUUUGGAGCAAGGCAAGUGUCAUGUGUUUGUGAGAUGUGUGAUACAAAUUAUCUUCUCUCAUUCUUCUGCAACAUCUUCACCAAAGUCUCCACUGCUUAUUAUGAUUCUAUUUUCUUACUGGAUUUUUCUGGAGUUAGGGAGCAGAGUGAGGGAAGAACCAGAAGGCUGCCAAAAUGUAAGUCAUGGUAGACAUGGUAGACAAAUUGGCUGGAGAAUAAGAGGAAAGCUGACAUCGAAGUAACAUCAGUAUCUGACAAGAAGAUUAGGGCCACCCUAAUAAUGUAUCAUUAAUUUGCACAUUUUAGGACAGAGUUUACAAAUCCUUCUUUGCAUCAAAAUCAUCAUCGGUCCUUGGGUCUACUGCCAUAUAUUCUUAUUCAACUGGUCUGGAGUGCGACCCAGACAUUCAACAUUUUUUCAAGAUCUCAGAUGAAUCUGAAAUGUAUAGCCAAGAUUGAGAACUAAAGUGGAGAAUCUAAAAUAAUCCAAACAAUGCAUGUUACGACAGAUAAAGUAGAAAAGUACAUACAGAUAUAAUUCCUUUCUCUUUUUUGUCUCUUUCCUUCUUUCAUCACACAAAUGAUUUUUUAAAAUAUACUUUAAGUUCUGGGGUAUACAUGUGCAGAAUAUGCAGGUUUGUUACAUGGAUAUACAAGUGCCAUGGUGGUUUGCCGCACCCAUCAACCCAUCAACCCAUCAUCUACAUUAGGUAUUUCUCCUAAUGCUAUCCCUCCCCUAUCCCCCUACCCUCUGCUAUUCCUCCCCUAGCCCCCCACCCCCUGACAGGCCCCAGUGUGUGAUGUUCCCCUCCCUGUGUCCAUGUGUUCUCAUUGUUCCACACCCACUUAUGAGUGAGAACAUGUGGUGUUUGGUUUUCUGUUCUUGUGUCAAUUUGCUGAGAAUGAUGGUUUCCAGUUUCAUCCACGUCCCUGAAAAGGACAUGAACUCAUUCUGCUUCUUGGACUUUUGGCUAAGAUCAAUUGUACAAAUGAUUUUUAAACUAUUUUUCUGAUAAUUUUUAUUAAUAAAUACCCAAUAAAUGUGUUACAUUACUAACAAAGAGAGAAAAAUAACAUGAACCUAAUCAAUUAGCAUAGAUUUAUCUAAAAUAUUGUAAACUAUGGCUUCUUGAUUAUUACAAAAUG